AAAAAGACAAACACACUAGUUUCCGUGUCCAACGUUUGAUCGUCCGUCUUAUUUGAAAAAAAUAUGAAAAAAAUUAAAAAGAUAAGUCACGCAUAAAAUAUUAAUCAUGUUUUAUCAUCUAACAACGAUAAAAAUACUAAUUAUAAGAAAAAUUCAUAUAAGACGGCCAGGCAAACGAUGGCACGGGAAUCCACCGUUUGCCUUUUU
Oryza sativa Japonica Group (Japanese rice) is the source of this 207-nucleotide microRNA precursor. It matches the Rfam family "MIR812 microRNA precursor family". NCBI's taxonomy places the organism in Eukaryota, Viridiplantae, Streptophyta, Magnoliopsida, Poales, Poaceae. The record is from Rfam.